This 1302-nucleotide ribosomal RNA is filed under the name Triticum aestivum (bread wheat). Its description in RNAcentral is "partial small subunit ribosomal RNA". Lineage: Eukaryota; Viridiplantae; Streptophyta; Magnoliopsida; Poales; Poaceae. The record is from RNAcentral.
AUGGGUCCCAGGAAGUUUCUCUUGGCCUCCAUUACUACCGUAUCAGUUCUUCUUUACAUGUUUCCGCACGCCAGUUCGGAGUCCGUAGCCCUCCCUCCCGAAUCGGCCUAUGGCCCGGCCGCAGAGAGUCCGGACGCCGGUGCGCGGGAUCUCAGCCCAGUGCCGCCGCCGAUGGUAUUCGACGUCGACGACUACGGCGCCUCGGCCGGCGGCGACGCCACCGAGGCGUUUCUCGCGGCGUGGAAGGACGCCUGCAACUCCUCCUCCGACCCGUCCCUGCUCCUCGUGCCCGAGGGGAAGGCCUACCUCCUCAUGCCCGUCAGCUUCACCGGCCCCUGCAGGGCUACCACGAUCACGGCAAUGAUCAGGGGAACGCUGGAGGCGCCGUCGAACCGGUCGGUGUGGCUGGACGGCGACCGCCGGGAGCGGUGGAUCACGUUCGAGGACGUCGACAGCCUGCACGUCAUGGGCGGCGGGACGCUCAACGGGCACGGGCAGGAGUGGUGGAUCAACUCGUGCAAGGUCAACAAAUCCAUGAAAUGCGUCGCCGGCCCGACGGCCCUGUACUUCAGGAGCUGCGACCAUCUGGUGGUGGACGACCUGGAGGUGAAGGACAGCAUGCAGAUGCACGUCGUGAUCGCCAACUGCUGGAAAGCCGCCGUCUCGCGGCUGUUCGUCACCGCGCCGGGGUGGAGCCCCAACACCGACGGGAUCCACGUAUCCAACAGCAGAGAGGUGUCCAUAACCAACUGCAUCAUCAGCACAGGUGAUGACUGCAUAUCCAUUGUGUCUGGCUCUGAGUUUGUGUGGGCAUCAGGCAUAUAUUGUGGGCCGGGCCAUGGAAUAAGCAUUGGCAGCCUAGGAGCGAACAAAUCGCGGGCCCAUGUCUCUGACGUGCUGGUGGAGAAGGCCACGCUGGUGGGCACAACCAACGGUGUGCGGAUCAAAACAUGGCAGGGAGGAGAAGGGUCUGCAGAGAGGAUUAUUUUCCAAGACAUAAAGAUGUACAAUGUCACUAACCCUAUCAUCAUUGACCAGAACUACUGUGACUCCAAGAAACCAUGCUCCGAAGAGGAAUCAGCUGUUGCCAUAAGUGACAUACGCUACAACAACAUACACGGAACCAGUUCAUCGAAAGUCGCGGUGAAAUUCAUUUGCAGCAGCGCUGUCCAUUGCGAUGGCAUAGUGAUGCAAGAUGUUUCUUUGGUCGGGCAAAAAGGGGCCUACCUUAAAUGUUCCUCCGUGAACGCCAGAGUUAUAACACCAGGAUUCAACUACCCUUAUUGCACCGCGGACAUGUAG